AUGAAUGUUUUCUAGGGUUCCGCAGUCUGCUGGCUGGUCUGGACCGAGAGAAAACUCACAGCCUAGGCUGUGUCACGGAGGGAUAAAAGCCCGGGAGAU
RNAcentral lists this small RNA (99 nucleotides) under Schinkia azotoformans LMG 9581. Its description in RNAcentral is "Bacillus azotoformans LMG 9581 Guanidine-I riboswitch aptamer". It matches the Rfam family "Guanidine-I riboswitch aptamer". Rfam says of the family: This family represents a conserved RNA structure found upstream of the ykkC and yxkD genes in Bacillus subtilis and related genes in other bacteria. The function of this family is unclear although it has been suggested that it may function to switch on efflux pumps and detoxification systems in response to harmful environmental molecules. Lineage: Bacteria; Bacillati; Bacillota; Bacilli; Caryophanales; Bacillaceae. The record is from Rfam by way of RNAcentral.